AAACCAACGAGAAACAUUUUAUAUAUAAGUGUAAAUAAAAGAAAUAUAUAAGUGUAUAUAAUUAACUGGCAGAAAAUGAAUUAUAAUAGCCUUUAGCCUGAAAAACUUCGGCAUUCCAGUCAGUGUAGUAUUACGUAUAGGAAUGAGACAAUUGCUUAAACGUCCAUUUUCAGCUGCUGGCAGAUUAAAGCGAGUACAGAAAACACUGUAGGAGUUUUUCACUUCGAAUCAAAGAAUAUUUCUCCAUCAUUGGCCAGAAGUUACGGGAGAUUUUUAAUUUAUUGAUUAUUUGUAUAGUAGCGGGAAGAUGGGCAACCGGAGAAAAUUAAGGAUAACGCGAGAUUUAAGGUGUGGUUAGAAGUAUCGAUCGAAAAAAUAAAUCUUUGGAAGGUUAUGGAUAAUUUUCGUUAGACGAAUCGAGGAUGGAAAUUUAAUUAACCCGUUAGUAAAGGCAGAAUCCGAAAUUUCGGUCAAGGAUUAUUUUUAUUAUUUAGAGGAGCCGUACCGGUUGGUAAAUCGGCUUAUGUAUUGUGGCUUGGUUCUUCGUUUUUACGCUGUAUGUUGUGGUCAUCGGAUGCCAAUCGACGGAACCGGGUCACCUUCCACUCCCUAUGUGGGUCGGUAAGUAAAAGACGGGGUGUGGAUUCCCCGGAAAAUAUUUAGAGUAAGGGAUCCGGAAUCGAUCCCGUGAUUCAAUAGCUAAUUUUCGAAUAUGGAAAAUGAAUAGAUACGGAGGACGAAAAAAAGAGAGAGGGCGAUUUAUUGGAGGGGGGAUGCUGCCGAAUAUCACCGGGCCAUGGGUGGCUCCUCUUUCCUAUUUAUCUCUGGCUAAAUUACUUAUUUAUAAAUAAAAUGGCGGCGGUAGGGUUAAUCCCGUGGGAGGAGCGACUGCCCGAAAUGUGUUAUUCUGGUUGUGAAAGCGGACAAGCUUCCCAGCGGGUUUUUCCGACGGGACUUUCACCUGUCUGUAAGGCGAUGGAAGAGGAAAGACGGCGCGUCUCGAUCGAAUUAUCGAUUCGACACCUGUAUCGAAACGUCGUGGCAGAAUCGGCGCUACGGGCAAUUAAUCCCGGUCCGGUCGUCCACACCUACUGGCUCGACCUUACGAGGCGAAACAACCCGUCUUCUUUCGCUGUCUCCAACCAAUUUACAUUUCUCGUCCGUAAAUCCUACUUAUUCUAAAAAAACUGGCCAGUGAUUUGCUUCCGGCAUCCAGUUAUCCAAGCGUUACCAUAGGGUGGACUGGUAAAUUGAUGACUUUCCAACGAUUCCGAAACCCACUUCUCCAAAAUUUUUCUGGAGAGUCGUGUCCCUACCGUUCGACCUUCGCCUUUCAACUCCGAGACAUCCUCUAUUUAUAUACCUAUUGAGCUGUUUGGCUACAUAGCGAAAUAAAUCGAAUCUUCCCUUUCUGGGCUCGAUAUCCAACUCGUUCUUGUAUAAUUUUUGAAAUUGGUUUUCCGUCCUCGAUUACUUCCCACCUAUUUUUAUGACCAAAUUUAAAAUUGCCGCCGCGUUAAAAUGACGCGCCGGCCCUUUUUACCUGAUGGAGUACGAAGAAGCCCUUUUGUGUCGUUCGGAAACUGGACCUCCACCUUUUUUCACCGUAGGUAAAAAUACCUAAGUAAAUACUGUUGAUCGUAUAUUUGUUUUUUUUUUAUCAAGACAUAAACAAUUAAAUCGUUUUUCAUAACGUUUAGCGCCAUUUGCCUGUUGUAUGCCACGAAGACGUUGGUUUUCCAUCUCGGUCUAAUGCCCGUCCUUCGACUACUAAAUUGUUAUUAAAACAUCGAUUUUAUAAGAUGGCUUCCGGCAGGUGGCCUUUACGCUUUUAUGAUAAACGAAGUUAUCUGUAUACGGACGAACGACCGAAGACAGGUGUGGAGUACGUCUAAUUUCGUCACUCCUGUUGAACUGUGGGACAGACGAUUUUUCCAAUUCCGCGUAUAGCUGCGGGAAGGCCACACGAAAUUCCCAUCAUUAGCGUUUAAGUUGAAGUAGCGGGCGCGCUUAAGUCUUAAGUUCAAUUAAAGCGCUAUUAAUAAAAGCGGGACAGAAGGCAUCUGGGUUGGCCAACAAAACGAUAGAAAGUCGUUUAUCUAGCUGCCAUUCGAUAAUAUCUGGUCUGGGCAGUUACAACAAUCGACUGUAAAUUGGCCGGGCUGACCCUAGGCCGUGUUCGACAACCCGUAGAGACAUUGUUCUAUCGUUCUUUAAUCAAUUAAAAUAAAUGCGGGCGGCAACGCUUUCCAUCCCUACCGCCUAAUCCGUCUCCUUUAUUUAAGGGAAAACCACUAAUGACCGCUUUCCCCGUCCCGUAAAUGAACCACUUUCCGUCGUCCCAUCCGUGACGAUUACCAUUUCUUCUUUUAAAAAGUGUUCUUUUUGGCCAGUCUUAUCACUAUCGACGACAGGUUUUCGCCCUUUGGACUCGGGACCGUGUCUUAAUGACUUUAAAUUAUGCCGUUUGAGUGAAAAGUUUCGCAUCUCUUAUUCGUGGCCGUGGCCAUUUCCUAUCCAUGUAUCUGUACCAGCGGUUUCCAAUUUUUUCAUAAACGCCUAUCACUAAAAUCAAACUUCAAAAAUUUCAGUACCAUCCCUUGUAUACAAAUAAGAAGUCAAGACGUAUCACUUGGCGUGUCUGGCGUAUCAUUAGUAGUGCGCGUACCGCUGGUGAUACGCGCAGGUUGAGAACCGCUGAUCUAUAACGCGGAUGAUCCAUACGCAACGUUCUAAACUUUCUCAGAUGGUCCUGUUUAGAAGGUUUCUAUCCAUUUUCGUGGUAAAUUUGAGGCGGACUGCUCGGUACUUCAAAUUUUCGCACUGUAUUUCCCACAACUCGUUUUUCCGGUGGAUAAAAUUCGUAUUUCAAAAUGUGAAAUUUAGAAUGUUCUUCCCGUUUGUCGGAGUUAAUCGUAUUUAUUCGGAAGAGGAGAAUAAUUAAAAUUUUAUUUUUACGAUUUUAUAGGAUUUUAAAUUAUAUUAGAUUU
This 2990-nucleotide long non-coding RNA is filed under the name Androctonus crassicauda. The record is from RNAcentral. Lineage: Eukaryota; Metazoa; Arthropoda; Arachnida; Scorpiones; Buthidae.